GACGAACGCUGGCGGCGUGCUUAACACAUGCAAGUGGAGCGACGAACCAGGCUUCGGCCUGGGGCAAAGCCGCGAACGGGUGAGUAACACGUGGGUAACCUGCCCCGAUGACCGGGACAACCCGAGGAAACUCGGGCUAAUACCGGAUGAGCUGCCCUCACAUCAGUGAGGGUCGGAAAGGAAGCUUCGGCCUCCGCAUCGGGAUGGGCCCG
Molecule: ribosomal RNA, 212 nt
Filed under: uncultured bacterium
Lineage: Bacteria
Description: partial 16S ribosomal RNA
Rfam family: Bacterial small subunit ribosomal RNA
Source: RNAcentral